UACGGAGAGGGCAAGCGUUGUUCGGAUUUAUUGGGCGUAAAGCGCGCGUAGGCGGUGCAGUAAGUCGGAUGUUAAAGACCCACGGCUCACCCGGGGGAGUGCGUCCGAUACUGCUGUGCUAGAGUACAGGAGAGGAGAGUGGAAUUCCUGGUGUAGCGGUGAAAUGCGUAGAUAUCAGGAGGAACACCGGUGGCGAAGGCGGCUCUCUGGCCUGUAACUGACGCUGAGGCGCGAAAGCGUGGGUAGCGAACGGG
This 254-nucleotide unclassified non-coding RNA is filed under the name uncultured bacterium. Its description in RNAcentral is "contains 16S-23S intergenic spacer region". It matches the Rfam family "Bacterial small subunit ribosomal RNA", at positions 524 to 776 of the family's 1533-position model. The record is from RNAcentral.